GAUGAACGCUGGCGGCGUGCCUAAUACAUGCAAGUCGAGCGAACGGACGAGAAGCUUGCUUCUCUGAUGUUAGCGGCGGACGGGUGAGUAACACGUGGAUAACCUGCCUAUAAGACUGGGAUAACUUCGGGAAACCGGAGCUAAUACCGGAUAAUAUUUUGAACCGCAUGGUUCAAAAGUGAAAGACGGUCUUGCUGUCACUUAUAGAUGGAUCCGCGCUGCAUUAGCUAGUUGGUAAGGUAACGUCUUACCAAGGCAACGAUGCAUAGCCGACCUGAGAGGGUGAUCGGCCACACUGGAACUGAGACACGGUCCAGACUCCUACGGGAGGCAGCAGUAGGGAAUCUUCCGCAAUGGGCGAAAGCCUGACGGAGCAACGCCGCGUGAGUGAUGAAGGUCUUCGGAUCGUAAAACUCUGUUAUUAGGGAAGAACAUAUGUGUAAGUAACUGUGCACAUCUUGACGGUACCUAAUCAGAAAGCCACGGCUAACUACGUG
Molecule: ribosomal RNA, 497 nt
Filed under: uncultured bacterium
Lineage: Bacteria
Description: partial 16S ribosomal RNA
Rfam family: Bacterial small subunit ribosomal RNA
Source: RNAcentral